AAACUCCAACCCAAUGUGAACGUUACCAAACUGUUGCCUCGGCGGGGUCACGCCCCGGGUGCGUAAAAGCCCCGGAACCAGGCGCCCGCCGGAGGAACCAACCAAACUCUUUCUGUAGUCCCCUCGCGGACGUAUUUCUUACAGCUCUGAGCAAAAAUUCAAAAUGAAUCAAAACUUUCAACAACGGAUCUCUUGGUUCUGGCWUCGAUGAAGAACGCAGCGAAAUGCGAUAAGUAAUGUGAAUUGCAGAAUUCAGUGAAUCAUCGAAUCUUUGAACGCACAUUGCGCCCGCCAGUAUUCUGGCGGGCAUGCCUGUCCGAGCGUCAUUUCAACCCUCGAACCCCUCCGGGGGAUCGGCGUUGGGGAUCGGGACCCCUCACCGGGUGCCGGCCCUGAAAUACAGUGGCGGUCUCGCCGCAGCCUCUCCUGCGCAGUAGUUUGCACAACUCGCACCGGGAGCGCGGCGCGUCCACGUCCGUAA
RNAcentral lists this ribosomal RNA (481 nucleotides) under Trichoderma sp. AH-Group-7. RNAcentral describes it as "eukaryotic LSU rRNA". The stretch from base 173 to 326 matches the Rfam family "5.8S ribosomal RNA". The record is from RNAcentral. Lineage: Eukaryota; Fungi; Ascomycota; Sordariomycetes; Hypocreales; Hypocreaceae.